GGGCCCGCACAAGCGGUGGAUUAUGUGGUUUAAUUCGAAGCAACGCGCAGAACCUUACCUAGGCUUGAAAUCCUACGAAUCUGGCCCAAAAGCCGGAGUGCCCCUCGGGGAAUGUAGAGACAGGCGCUGCAUGGCUGUCGUCAGCUCGUGUCGUGAGAUGUUGGGUUAAGUCUCGCAACGAGCGCAACCCCUAUUUUUAGUUGCCAGCAUUAAGUUGGGCACUCUAGAGAGACUGCCUGGGUUAACCAGGAGGAAGGUGGGGAUGACGUCAAGUCCUCAUGGCCCUUAUGCCUAGGGCUACACACGUAAUACAAUGGUCGGUACAAAGGGACGCCAACCGCAAGGGGAGCAAACCUCAAAAAGCCGAUCUCAGUCCGGAUUGGAGUCUGCAACUCGACUCCAUGAAGUUGGAAUCGCUAGUAAUCGCGGAUC
This 432-nucleotide ribosomal RNA is filed under the name uncultured bacterium. RNAcentral's name for it is "bacterial SSU rRNA". It matches the Rfam family "Bacterial small subunit ribosomal RNA", at positions 917 to 1350 of the family's 1533-position model. The record is from RNAcentral.